UGCCAUAUCAGGUUAAAAGACCUGUUCUCAUACGACUACUGAAGUUAAGCAACGUUGAGUCUCCUUAAUACCUAGAUGGGUGACCACUUUGGAAUCCCAGGUGUUA
Molecule: non-coding RNA, 106 nt
Organism: Acanthosepion pharaonis
Lineage: Eukaryota; Metazoa; Mollusca; Cephalopoda; Sepiida; Sepiidae
Source: the annotation of a GenBank genome assembly